CUUUCUUUGCUGGCGGCCGGCGCACGGGUGAGUAACACGUAUCCAACCUGCCCUUUACUCGGGGAUAGCCUUUCGAAAGAAAGAUUAAUACCCGAUAGUAUAAUGAUUCCGCAUGGUUUCAUUAUUAAAGGAUUCCGGUAAGGGAUGGGGAUGCGUUCCAUUAGGUUGUUGGUGAGGUAACGGCUCACCAAGCCUUCGAUGGAUAGGGGUUCUGAGAGGAAGGUCCCCCACAUUGGAACUGAGACACGGUCCAA
This 254-nucleotide ribosomal RNA is filed under the name uncultured bacterium. RNAcentral describes it as "partial 16S ribosomal RNA". It matches the Rfam family "Bacterial small subunit ribosomal RNA", at positions 79 to 334 of the family's 1533-position model. The record is from RNAcentral.